CCUACGGGAGGCAGCAGUGAGGAAUUUUGGGCAAUGGGCGAAAGCCUGACCCAGCGACGCCGCGUGGGCGAUGAAGGCCUUCGGGUCGUAAAGCCCUGUGAGUUGGGAAGAAGCCGCUCGGUGCCAAUACCACCUGGCGGUGACAGUACCAACAGAGGAAGCCCCGGCUAACUACGUGCCAGCAGCCGCGGUAAAACGUAGGGGGCAAGCGUUGUUCGGAAUUACUGGGCGUAAAGCGCGUGUAGGCGGCUUGGUAAGUCGGAAGUGAAAGCCCUCGGCUCAACCGGGGAACUGCUUUCGAAACUGCCAGGCUUGAAUGCGGGAGGGGAGAGCGGAAUUCCCGGUGUAGCGGUGAAAUGCGUAGAUAUCGGGAAGAACACCGGUGGCGAAGGCGGCUCUCUGGACCGUGAUUGACGCUGAGACGCGAAAGCGUGGGGAGCAAACAGGAUUAGAUCCCCCUGUAGU
This 465-nucleotide ribosomal RNA is filed under the name uncultured bacterium. RNAcentral describes it as "partial 16S ribosomal RNA". It matches the Rfam family "Bacterial small subunit ribosomal RNA", at positions 338 to 794 of the family's 1533-position model. The record is from RNAcentral.